CCCUUAGAUGUUCUGGGCUGCACGCGCGCUACACUGAUGCGCUCAACGAGUUUACGACCUUGCCCGGAAGGGUUGGGUAAUCUUUUUAAAACGCAUCGUGAUGGGGAUAGAUUAUUGCAAUUAUUAAUCUUUAACGAGGAAUUCCUAGUAAGCGCGAGUCAUCAGCUCGUGCUGAUUACGUCCCUGCCCUUUGUACACACCGCCCGUCGCUCCUACCGAUUGAGUGAUGCGGUGAAUAAUUCGGACUGCAGCAGUGUUCAGUUCCUGAACGUUGCAGCGGAAAGUUUAGUGAACCUUAUCACUUAGAGGAAGGAGAAGUCGUAACA
RNAcentral lists this ribosomal RNA (326 nucleotides) under uncultured eukaryote. RNAcentral's name for it is "partial 18S ribosomal RNA". It matches the Rfam family "Eukaryotic small subunit ribosomal RNA", at positions 1470 to 1796 of the family's 1831-position model. The record is from RNAcentral.